AAUCCAAAUGGGUGAGAAUGGCUUAUGGAGUAAAGUGAACAACUGAAUACAGGGUGAAGGAGUACUUAUUGCAAAUAUAUAUAUACUCAACACACAAUACAGAUUGCAGUAUUUCAUGACCCACAGUCCAUCUUGAAGCACAAUAACAAAGGGCCUAACAUUUUUUUUUUUUUAAAGCUGCAAAAUAAUCCUCCAGGGUGUAUAUAUACAUAAAUACAAUUUGUAGAAGUGUACUCUGAUCAUUUAAAAGGAAUAAAUAAAGGUGAAUACACCAAUGCCAGCAAAGGAACUAGGAUGCCACACAGUUAAACCCAGCUUUCCCAUACUGCCUGCCGCUAAUAAGAAGCUAUGAGAUUGAAAAGUGCAUGUCUAUGACAUUUAGCAGUGCAAUCCAAAUGGGUUCAGAAAUCACCGAUCAAGUGAACUGUCGUCUCAUAUAAGUAUCUUCGUGUACAAAAACAGGAUCUUGAGUGGUCUGUGGUGUGAUAUGUUGUCCCAUGGCUAUGCCACUUGGAUUAGAAACAGGAGGAUUGCCCCAAGGACUAUUAACACUCUUUGAUGAGUUGAAAGUAAGGUAAUAGAGAAUUCCAAGGGUGACGCUUGCAAGGGCCAAGACAGCACCACCAGCAAAGACCCCUGGUUUGACAACAUAGCAGUAGUAACUCCCAAAGUACAAGCUCUCUUCGCCAUGUUGAUCAUUGAGUGCAGCACCAGUUAGCAAGAGAAGAAAAGCUAUCACAAAUGCGAACCAGGAAACAACAAAGCAGGCUGACGCUAUUGUCCAAUUUGAGUUUGAAGGGUUGGGGUUUCUUUUGCAACAAAUACACCCAGUUGCAACAUUAAGAAUUACUUGAGCCAUCAUGAGUGCCACAGCUGAGGUUAAACCAAGAGCCAGUGCAGAACUCCGGGGAAAUGUGCAUUGAGUAGCAGAUGUGAACUGAAUCUCAGAACCCUGAAAGAUUACAAGUGAAGUAAGAAAAGAAAGCAUAUUAGAAAUGCAGUAAGCUAUUUUAUAACUGCAUCAUUCAAACCAAAGAUCACUGUUGACAAGAUAUAGAGAUCAGUACGUAUAGAAAUAACCAGUGAUGACAAAGAAGAGCCUUAGCCUUUUUCUAUAUCAGCUAAUCCAUGAAUAUCUGCUGAGAUUAUCAACAAGACUAAUUAAAGAAUAACAUCACAUUCUCAUUACCUAUUGGACAUGCCCCAAUUAUAAAUUGAUCCAACACCAUUAAUGUCAUCUAGCAAUCAAUAAAGGAAAAUCAUAUUCUCAACUUUGCAGUAAGCACAACAAAGCCAUUCCGUUCAUAGAAAAAAAUGCAACAUAUUGGCAUAAUAGUAUUGCACAUGUUCACACUCACAUUUGUACAACCAUAUACACUUCAUUAAUAUUACUAUGUCAUUUUAGGAUGGCAGAAUUAUAUGCCAUAAUCUAAUGUACACAUCAAUCAUCAUGAUUGCCAAUCCCGAUUUCAUGUUUCCCAUCCACAUGAUAGUAUAAAUAUUGUAUCAGGAAUGAGGAAUUCCUGAGAAUACAAUCAAAUUAUCUUCACAACUAGGAAAAUUGAGAAUGUGAACACUUCAUAGUGUGGUUGGUGGACCUGACUCAAUGUAGCAGAGUCCAAACAGAAUGAAACAAAAUUUAUUUACUUCAUAAACCAGAAGGACUGCCUAGCCAAUGAAAAUAAGAUUAUAGGAUCAUUACUCUAGCAUUAGGGAGGUUUCUUCAGAAAGAAAUAUCAAAUAUUCACAAGGAGGAGUGCUGCUGGAACCAAACAAAUCCAUUGGCCAUUCAUGUAACAAUGGAAAAACAUGCAACUUAGAAUCAUCGCUACGGCAAUAAGAAAUGAAGAGGAUAAGUCAAAGUCAAUGCAACUCAUGGUAGAAUCAACUCAAGCAGAGCAAUCUUUAGCAACGCAUCCACCAAAAGCUGUGACAUUGCCCUCUUUUAGAUCAACAUCAUGUCAAUUAGUGAUAACGCAGUAUUAGACAAAGGUAAAAGUAAGCCUGUAAUUAACUUACAAAACCAUUAAGUUGACACAGAAUGUUUAGGCAGACCAAAGUAGCGAUUUAACCCUUGCAUCCACCAUAUGAAGUAACAUUCCUCACCUUUGACGGUUUUGUGUCAGAGGCAUUGUAAUGAAAAGCCUAACAUCUGGCUAUCAGCACUAAUAAAUUCUUGAUGGAAGACAAUUUACAACAGCAGUUAGUGAAUUAUAAGGUGAAUACAAUGAGUUAGGUAACUGAGAGGAUGGUGUACAAAAUGGAGAAAAGAAACUAUUUUCACAAUUGGCCUGCUUGCUUCUUGUUCCUGGUAUCAAGAACCAUAUGCUUUUGGAAACAGUUUUUUUGUACGCUUGUGCUCUACUCAACGCAUGCUCUUUAUUUUUCAGAACAGGAAAAAGUUGCUCACUACGAUCUCAAAAAUUGUUCCCCAGAAAAGAGUACAGAGACACUUUAGUCUUAGCAAUGUCUCCUAGUUAGUUAAGAAAGCAUAUUUUUGAGACACACAAUUACAACCUUAAUCAUAACCAAACAAUGUCUAAAUUUUAUUGACUUGUUUUGCAAUAGGAAAGAAAGAGGCAGAGAAUUGGAUUCUACGAUAACCCACGGGCACUUGAUCAACUUCAGGAGAAGACAAACUUUAUACUCAUGCGAUUCCCUAACACGGGGUCAACAAAAUCACCUAAAAGUAUAUGCAUAUUACUUGUUUUAAUAGCCAUGAACGAUUAGAUUAGAUAUUAGUUGCUAACUGUUUAUAUAAUAAUUUUAAAGUAGAUUGUGCCGUUGGAUGGAUUAAAUGAUAUCAUCUUUACUUUGGUCAAAACACCCUAGAGGACUUUUCAGGAACAGUCCCCCUCUACCUGUUAACGCUGAAAGCUACCACUUGUUGUCGAUCGAACAGAGCCUAUCUGAAUCAACUUCUUAUUUUCUGUAAAUUCUCUUUUGCUCAGUUAGUCUCAGCAACCAAAUUAAGAAAUAGUGCAACAAACAGCAAGACAAAGAUUAACCAAUCACCAAAAAGUAGUAACAGAGAAACCCACUUGAAGGUUACAGAUAAAAAGAAGAUAUAAUUACAAAAAGUUCAGAGAGAUAAAAAAAGUCUUUUAAUCCUGGUGGCUUCUGCACCAAAACCUGUAGCAGCUGACAAUAGCCCCAAGAAACCCACAACAACGCACAACACCAAGGCCUUUCUUUCCAUAUCUUUCUCGAAGCUGCUCUUGGAUCCGCAAUACAAUACAAAAAACACCGGUGAAUUGGUGGCUUAAGUCGGUAUGAGUACUGAUAGAAUCAAUGGAAAUUAACUAUGCAUAACUGAUAGCCGUUUAUAUAACCUUUGAAUUUGUCUGCUGUUGGGAAGAGUUAGUUAGUAUAGGACUUGGAGUCUCGAUUAUACGAGUGCUAUGCAUACCAGGACUAUCCAGAUAAGCAGGGCCUGUGUAUGGCAGCUCGAACUUUAUCCGGUUCACCUGUUAGCCGAUUAUUUGGAUACCCGCUCAUGAAUAUGUAGGCGCUGUCGUAUCAUUUCUGUCUUUCCAAGCACUAUCUUUCGUUCUUUAUAAACAGGGUCUCCCCCACUCUCUCUCUGGAAUCGGGCUCUCUUUUUGAAGAUGUGCCUCUUUCUCUGUUGGUAAAUGCAGUUGCCAUUAGGGCAAGCUACCCUUAAAAAAAUGGGUAUUCUCUUCUAGUAUGGCAAUGAUA
Molecule: unclassified non-coding RNA, 3699 nt
Filed under: Hevea brasiliensis (rubber tree)
Lineage: Eukaryota; Viridiplantae; Streptophyta; Magnoliopsida; Malpighiales; Euphorbiaceae
Source: RNAcentral